GAUGAACGCUGGCGGCGUGCCUAAUACAUGCAAGUCGAGCGAACAGACGAGGAGCUUGCUCCUCUGACGUUAGCGGCGGACGGGUGAGUAACACGUGGAUAACCUACCUAUAAGACUGGGAUAACUUCGGGAAACCGGCGCUAAUACCGGAUAAUAUAUUGAACCGCAUGGUUCAAUAGUGAGAGACGGUUUUGCUGUCACUUAUAGAUGGAUCCGCGCCGCAUUAGCUAGUUGGGAAGGUAACGGCUUACCAAGGCAACGAUGCGUAGCCGACCUGAGAGGGUGGUCGGCCACCCUGGAGCGGGGACGCGGUCCAGACUCCUACGGGAGGCAGCAGUAGGGUAUCUUCCGCAAUGGGCGAAAGCCUGACGGAGCAACGCCGCGUGAGUGAUGAAGGUCUUCGGAGCGUAAAACUCUGUUAUGAGGGAAGAACAAAUGUGUAAGUAACUAUGCACGUCUUGACGGUACCUAAUCAGAAAGCCACGGCUAACUACGUG
This 497-nucleotide ribosomal RNA is filed under the name uncultured bacterium. Its description in RNAcentral is "partial 16S ribosomal RNA". It matches the Rfam family "Bacterial small subunit ribosomal RNA", at positions 28 to 507 of the family's 1533-position model. The record is from RNAcentral.